Molecule: ribosomal RNA, 494 nt
Filed under: uncultured bacterium
Lineage: Bacteria
Description: partial 16S ribosomal RNA
Rfam family: Bacterial small subunit ribosomal RNA
Source: RNAcentral
GACGAACGCUGGCGGCGCGCUUAACACAUGCAAGUCGAACGGAAAGGCCUGCUUUCCCUUGUGGAUUGCGGGUACUCGAGUGGCGAACGGGUGAGUAACACGUGAGUGAUCUGCCCCCAACUUGGGUAUAAGCCUGGGAAACUGGGUCUAAUUCCCGAUAGGACUGCAGGGUGGUGCCUGUGGUGGAAAACGAUUUUCUAGUGGUUGGGGAUGAGCUCGCGGCCUAUCAGCUUGUUGGUGGGGUAAUGGCCUACCAAGGCGGCGACGGGUAGCCGGCCUGAGAGGGUGGACGGGCACAUUGGGACUGAGAUACGGCCCAGACGCCUACGGGAGGCAGCAGUGGGGAAUAUUGCACAAUGGGCGUAAGCCUGAUGCAGCGACGCCGCGUGGGGGAUGACGGCCUUCGGGUUGUAAACUCCUUUCGACCGCGAGGAAGCCACCUGGUUGGAAGGGUGGUGACGGUAGUGGUAGAAGAAGCACCGGCUAACUACGUG